This 378-nucleotide ribosomal RNA is filed under the name uncultured bacterium. RNAcentral's name for it is "bacterial SSU rRNA". It matches the Rfam family "Bacterial small subunit ribosomal RNA", at positions 29 to 420 of the family's 1533-position model. The record is from RNAcentral.
AAUGAACGUUGGCGGCGUGGAUUAGGCAUGCAAGUCGAGCGAGAAUCCCGGCUUGCCGGGAGGACAGCGGCGCAAGGGACAGUAAUGUGUAGAUUAUCUGCCCUCGGGUCCGGGAUAGCCGCGGGAAACUGCGGGUAAUACCGGAUGACAUCUCCGGAUCAAAGGUGUGAUUCCGCCCGAGGAUGAGUCUACAUCCUAUUAGCUUGUUGGCAGGGUAAUGGCCUACCAAGGCGAUGAUGGGUAGCGGGUGUGAGAGCACGACCCGCGUCAUUGGGACUGAGACACUGCCCAGACACCUACGGGUGGCUGCAGUCGAGAAUCUUCGGCAAUGGGCGCAAGCCUGACCGAGCGACGCCGCGUGUGGGAUGAAGGCCUCGG